UGCAUGUCUAAGUAUAAGCAAUUAUACGGCGAAACUGCGAAUGGCUCAUUAUAUAAGUUAUCGUUUAUUUGAUAGUACCUUACUACUUGGAUAACCGUGGUAAUUCUAGAGCUAAUACAUGCUUAAAAUCCCGACUUCGGAAGGGAUGUAUUUAUUAGAUUAAAAACCAAUGCCCUUCGGGGCUCUCUGGUGAUUCAUGAUAACUUCUCGAAUCGCAUGGCCUUGCGCCGGCGAUGGUUCAUUCAAAUUUCUUCCCUAUCAACUUUCGAUGUUUGGGUAUUGGCCAAACAUGGUUGCAACGGGUAACGGAGGGUUAGGGCUCGACCCCGGAGAAGGAGCCUGAGAAACGGCUACUACAUCCAAGGAAGGCAGCAGGCGCGCAAAUUACCCAAUCCCGACUCGGGGAGGUAGUGACAAUAAAUACUGAUACAGGGUUCUUUUGGAUCUUGUAAUUGGAAUGAGUACAAUUUAAAUCCCUUAACGAGGAACAAUUGGAGGGCAAGUCUGGUGCCAGCAGCCGCGGUAAUUCCAGCUCCAAUAGCGUAUAUUAAAGUUGUUGUGGUUAAAAAGCUCGUAGUUGAACCUUGGGCCUGGCUGGCCGGUCCGCCUCACCGCGUGUACUGGUCCGGCCGGGCCUUUCCCUCUGUGGAACCCUAUGCCCUUCACUGGGUGUAGCGGGGAAACAGGACUUUUACUUUGAAAAAAUUAGAGUGCUCCAGGCAGGCCUUUGCUCGAAUACAUUAGCAUGGAAUAAUAAAAUAGGACGUGUGGUUCUAUUUUGUUGGUUUCUAGGACCGCCGUAAUGAUUAAUAGGGACAGUCGGGGGCAUCAGUAUUCAAUUGUCAGAGGUGAAAUUCUUGGAUUUAUUGAAGACUAACUACUGCGAAAGCAUUUGCCAAGGAUGUUUUCAUUAAUCAGGAACGAAAGUUAGGGGAUCGAAGA
RNAcentral lists this ribosomal RNA (942 nucleotides) under Hypocreales sp. C7-1. Its description in RNAcentral is "SSU rRNA". It matches the Rfam family "Eukaryotic small subunit ribosomal RNA", at positions 52 to 1004 of the family's 1831-position model. The record is from RNAcentral. Lineage: Eukaryota; Fungi; Ascomycota; Sordariomycetes; Hypocreales.